Molecule: long non-coding RNA, 387 nt
Organism: Apus apus (common swift)
Lineage: Eukaryota; Metazoa; Chordata; Aves; Apodiformes; Apodidae
Exons: 4
Source: RefSeq, a predicted model, not a curated record
UGAAUAGCCCAGGGAUUCAGGAUCUUGCCCAGUCUGACCAGAGGGCUUGCUCCCAUUUACCUGAAAGGGAAACCAGGACUAUAGCUGCAUCAUCAUGGAUACAGGUGAAACUGGGAGCAGCUCCUCACCUGAGCUAUGCCUAGUGAACCACCAGCAGGGUCCCUCUGAUUUACUGAGGAGAGUGAAUGUGAGCUGUGAGGGACAGAACUGAAAAAGCAGCACCAUCCACUGGGAGCACAAAGCAAACCUGAGGACUUAUUCCUGGCAUGUGAACUGCAGAAGCAAGAAGACUUUGUGCCAUCUGCUGACACCUAAACAAGUAUGACAAACUUUUUUCUUUCAAGUGAUAAAUUAAAAAUAAAAAUAAUAAAAAAUAAUAUGGUAAAA